UAGCUGCCUUUUGAAGGGC
RNAcentral lists this microRNA (19 nucleotides) under Polistes canadensis. Its description in RNAcentral is "pca-miR-980-3p". Its record names the gene pca-miR-980-3p. Lineage: Eukaryota; Metazoa; Arthropoda; Insecta; Hymenoptera; Vespidae. The record is from miRBase by way of RNAcentral.